GUGCCUUAAACUAAUGAGUAAGGAAAAUAACGAGCUUGGGUGAUGCCAGGCUCCUAGGCCGAGUCCUAGAGGAAUUUGUGAUGGGGCACAGGUCACCCCCAGGUGACCUACCUACUUUGUGGGAUGCCUGGGUUGAUGUGAUCUGCCCU
Molecule: small nuclear RNA, 149 nt
Filed under: Haliotis rubra (blacklip abalone)
Lineage: Eukaryota; Metazoa; Mollusca; Gastropoda; Lepetellida; Haliotidae
Description: U12 minor spliceosomal RNA
Rfam family: U12 minor spliceosomal RNA
About the family: Although the U12 sequence is very divergent from that of U2, the two are functionally analogous.
Source: RNAcentral